Molecule: unclassified non-coding RNA, 342 nt
Filed under: soil metagenome
Description: partial contains 5.8S ribosomal RNA, internal transcribed spacer 2, and large subunit ribosomal RNA
Rfam family: 5.8S ribosomal RNA (bases 1-120)
Source: RNAcentral
GAUGAAGAACGUAGCGAAAUGCGAUAAGUAUUGUGAAUUGCAGAAUUCAGUGAAUCAUCGAAUCUUUGAACGCACAUUGCGCCCGCCAGCACUCUGGCGGGCAUGCCUGUUCGAGCGUCAUUUCAACCAUCAAGCCCCCAGGGGCUUGUGCUGGGGCCCUGCGGCUGCCCGCAGGCCCUGAAAACCAGUGGCGGGCUCGCUAGUCACACCGAGCGCAGUAGCACAUCUCGCUCAGGGCGUGCGGCGGGCUCCUGCCGUGAAACCCCCCACUGUAACCCCAAAGGUUGACCUCGGAUCAGGUAGGAAUACCCGCUGAACUUAAGCAUAUCAAUAAGCGGAGGA